CCCCGGUAGCUCAGCGGUAGAGCAACCGGCUGUUAACCGGUUGGUCGCUGGUUCGAAUCCGGCCCGGGGAGCCA
RNAcentral lists this transfer RNA (74 nucleotides) under Brucella sp. 10RB9215. RNAcentral describes it as "tRNA-Asn". It matches the Rfam family "tRNA". Rfam says of the family: Transfer RNA (tRNA) molecules are approximately 80 nucleotides in length. The record is from RNAcentral. Lineage: Bacteria; Pseudomonadati; Pseudomonadota; Alphaproteobacteria; Hyphomicrobiales; Brucellaceae. RNAcentral also lists the same sequence under 1 other name.